GCAGGAGGCACAGGAGGGCUGGAAGGUAAUGGGGGCGGCAUGCCCUCGGCUCGAUGUUUCCCCUGCCCAUCAGCACAGCUCGGCAGAGGGACCCUGGACAUGUGGAGAGCUGUCACUGCCUAACGGGGACUUCAGGGCUGAACCCUGACCCCUGUGAGAGGCGAGAGGCUGCCGCCUCCCCUGCGAGGCGUUCUGGCAGUGAAAUCCAUCUUGGAAAGGAUGUUGUUUUCCUUCCGAAGCUGAUGAGCCUCUUGAUUGCUUCGUUUGAAACGGGACGUGGCUCUCUGAGAAAUGCAGGCUCAGGCUUCCUGACAGCCGUGACCUCGAGGGGGGAUUGAGAUGGACUGCUGAGAGGCUGCCAGCCGCAUCCUGCACGCCCCAAGCACACAGCCUGCCUGAGGGACAGAAGGCUUCUUGGAACAUACCAGCAGGGGGAUGAUGGAGAAGCGGUGGGUCGCAUCCAAACCUCCUCUAAACUAGGGAAAAGAUGUGGAGCACUGCAGCUCGCUCCUGGCCUUGGGUAACUGGAGCCGUCCCAGACUUGCAGAGCAGGCUGAGGGCAGCCCAGCUCAUCCUGCAGCGUCACACACCACUGCCGGGAACAAAACCAGGGCAGUGUGGGAGCUGUCACUGAACCCGUGUCAUCCCAGCCUCUCAACCAAGACGUAGAAAAAUCUCAGAUCCAUCCUGAACCAAUUCCCUACGACCUGCUGGUCCACACGCAGCAGCCUGACUGAGCCACAGUGGGGCUGUCCUGCCUUGGGGGCAUCAAACAGGAGCCAAACCAUAGAAGUGGAGAUCUCAUAGCCAUGGGAUGGGACCGCUGGGUGGCAGUGGGGACAGCAGGAACGGGCAGUGAGGCGUUGCUGGCCUUUGCAGCUGCUGGCUUUGCAGAGCCGGGAUGGAAGGAGCUGGUCCCACCACGCUGUCGGUGGCGAUGCCCAGGCUUUGCUGAGCAGGGCACGAGCUCCCAUUCCCAGCAGGAUACGCUGACCCCUUUGCCUUCCUGGUGGCUUCAGGAAGGAGGACAGAUUAGGUCCAGGAGUUGUCUCCAUGGAGCAGCAGGGGCACAGGAAGUCCUGUGAAGACCUAAGAGCAAAACAAAGGCACAAAGAGCUCUGCUUUCCCUUCGGAGGCAAAGCAGGCGUCACGCAGCCAGCAGGCAGUGGCUAACACUGCUUUGUGGGCUUUUUUUUCCCACCCAGCCGCUUCCUCCUGUGGAGAACAACUGAGUACGCUCGCUUUGUUUUCCUCGUGCUCCACAAGCCUGUCACCUGCCCUGGGGAUGCAGGCAGGCGCUGAAGAGCUGCAGUGCUGUGUGGUGACCCACGAGUGGCUGGACCAAACCCAGAAGCCCUUACUCAGGGCUAGCCCAGCCCGUUCCUCCCAGCAUCUUCCCACAAGGGAAGCCUGGGACUGGCCAGCACCGGUCACCUCAGGCUCCUCUAAAACUGCCCCGUGCUCUUUGCCUGGUGGCACCUCCUUGCUUUUCACCUCAACACAUCUCAUUUUGAGUUUCAGUGCUAAAGCCAGCCGCAGUGAGCACGACUGAAGACAUUUACUGCCUGUCCUAGCCGGUGACUGUCACGGUGAAGCACAGAUCCAGAUUUUCCUUUCCAUAGAGGGAAAAGGCUGCAGACACAGGGCUGCCAGGCGGUUACCUCUGCUGGGAAUUUCUCCUUUCCACCUGGAUGUCACCGCUAACAACGCCGCUGGUACUGGGCAGGGUCCAGGCGGCAGCGUGGAGGAGGCAGAGUGCCCACCAGCGAGGUCGAGAAGGAAGGGUCUGUCCACUCAGGUGGCUGAGUCUGGCUGAAUUACCUGAAAUUCUCCCAAAGAAGAAGAAUGAAAAAGAUUUUUCAUCAAAUCAAAAGAUUUUCUGUUUUCAGGAGCCAGAGAUUAGGGGAAAAGUUUGUUGUUUCACUAAAAACUAGCCUUACAAUCAACUGAGAAGACGUUUCAUCAUCGAGGACUGAUGCCUCCAGAUUUUGGGGCACUGGACUGUAACUUGCCAAGUGUGCUGUCCUGACACCAGAGGGCUGUACAGCUGCCCUUGGAUCCUGUGAAAACUCUCCUUAGAAAUCCCAGCCAAGGGGGACAGUUUGAAGGUACUGAGCAUUUUCUAAUUCAGCGAGGAAGAGACUGAGGAUGUGACAGCAAUAUUCCAGCAUCCAAUUAUUCCCUCAGGGCCACCGGGAAACAUUAAAAAAAUCGCUCUGCUUCAUCUGAAGCGAAAAAAAAAAAAAAAAAAGUUUAUGUUAAGAAAAUCCCAACACUGCAAUGCAGGAAUCUGCAUUUCAGCAGGAAACUGCUGAAAUCACGAUGCUUGGGCUUUCUGGCCAGAGCAGGAAGGCAAAGUGCCCUGGCACAGCUGCAGUAAGGUGAGGGGAGAGGUCUCAGGUGGUGCUUGAUGGGUCCCGAGGACAAAAAGCCUGGUGCACAGGAGGCGAGAGGAGAGCUGAAGGGGACUCAUCAGUGUGUGACUGCCCAGCUCUGUCUGAUGACACCCUAAAUCCUCAUUCUGGAUGCAUCCCCCUGCUCCUGCAGGAGAGGGUACAGCUAAUGAACCCAUUACUGCGGGGCUCGGAGUGGGAAGCACUAAAGGAGCAAUCAGGCUGCUGAAAUCUUGCAAAACCUUUGACUCAUCCCCGUUCCUGGGAGGCCACGUGUCAGCACUUCACCCAUUUCUCAACAUUUAGCUAUUUUAGGAAUGACAUCGAAGUGCAGGUGAAGUCUGACCGACAAGGUCUGUCGCUCACGACUCCAAAACACCGCUGACCUGCAAAGGUCAUGCUGAAGGCUGCCUGAGAACCGAGGGCUUCCCCCCAAUAACACCCCCAGGCAUUUGCUUCUCGCCCUCCCCAUGGACAAUCCCCAGCAGAGACUUUGCAAAGUCCUGGGCAUCUGCAUCCGGACCCAGCAGGCUGAAGAUUUAAGGUCCAAAGCGAUGAUUUCAUGGUUCUGAGGAACUGAGACCAAAGCGUUUGCCCAAGACAUUCCUCCAGCCUCGAGUCAUCUGCGGGUCUUGCUGCCAAGGGAGGGGAACUCCCUGUGCUUUUCCACAACACAGCACCCACCCCAAACACAGCCAGGCGGGGGGCAACAGCCCGGGGCUGGGGUGGGGUGGAGGCCGUCACCUUCUUCUCCAGGAGCAGCAGGGCACAGCGGCUGCUGCGGAUGGAUGAUUUGGGCAGGGAGCUGCAGGGGCUGUGGCCUCCCACCUCGAUGUCUGAGCCUACAAAGCAGCUUCGGGGUUGUGGCGUGGAGGCUGUGCUGCUAAAGGUGUGGGAGAUGUGAACAGAAGCUUUGGGGCUUGCUGUAAAUGCAGCCGGGUUCCUCGCAUUGCUUGUGUCGGGGUCCCGUUGGUAAGUCUGAAGCGAAGCGUCACGUGCUGAGUGUUUGGUUCCAGCACAAACCAUGCUUAUAAAGCAGGACAGAAACUAGCUGUGGCUCAGGAUACUUGGAAUGGGACCAAUGUUUGCUCUUCCUGAGAUACUUCUUUAGGUUUUGACACAACAACCUGAAUUCCGGUCAUCUGCUGCAUUGCAGAGAGGCCGGGAAGCGUGCAGACUCCAGCGCUGGGAGAGCCUGAAGUCCUGAACCCUCCUCUUCCUCCUCCUGCUUCCCCCGGCUGUUUUUUUGGAAGGAGCCCACGAGUUCUGUGGGUGAGCAGCUCAGAAGGAGCCCCACUUACUCCUCUGCCUGCGGCAUCUCCCUUACUCUGGACUUGGAUGAACGCUUCUGGCAUGAUGGGCCCUGUGUGGAGCAGGAUGGAGCAGGAUCUGCUCCGCUUCGAGGCACAGGAAAAAGUUCAGAUAUGUCUUAUUUUGAUAUAUCAAAAUAAAGCACAGUUUACAAGA
This is a non-coding RNA of Anas platyrhynchos (mallard), 3860 nucleotides long. The record is from RefSeq and is a predicted model, not a curated record. Lineage: Eukaryota; Metazoa; Chordata; Aves; Anseriformes; Anatidae.